GAAGGAAUAAAAGAGAGAGGAGAGAAAAACAAAUGGGGGAAUGUGUGUUUUUUAUUCAUUUAUGCAAAAUGGGGGCUGUAUUUUAUUUUUUAUGAACCCAUUUAUAAUGUCCCUAUUAUACAUAU
Molecule: non-coding RNA, 125 nt
Filed under: Thalassiosira rotula
Lineage: Eukaryota; Bacillariophyta; Thalassiosirophyceae; Thalassiosirales; Thalassiosiraceae
Source: RNAcentral